UCCCUGGUGGCUUAGACCAUAAAGGAUCUGUCUGAAAUGCAGGAGACCCAGGUUCGACCCCUGAUUAGGGGA
This 72-nucleotide transfer RNA is filed under the name Bos taurus (domestic cattle). It matches the Rfam family "tRNA". Rfam says of the family: Transfer RNA (tRNA) molecules are approximately 80 nucleotides in length. Their secondary structure includes four short double-helical elements and three loops (D, anti-codon, and T loops). RNAcentral also lists the same sequence under 1 other name. The record is from Rfam by way of RNAcentral. Lineage: Eukaryota; Metazoa; Chordata; Mammalia; Artiodactyla; Bovidae.